Molecule: ribosomal RNA, 253 nt
Filed under: uncultured bacterium
Lineage: Bacteria
Description: partial 16S ribosomal RNA
Rfam family: Bacterial small subunit ribosomal RNA
Source: RNAcentral
UACGGGGGGGGCAAGCGUUGUUCGGAAUUACUGGGCGUAAAGGGCGUGUAGGCGGCCAACUAAGUCCGACGUGAAAUCCCCAGGCUUAACCUGGAAACUGCGUCGGAUACUGGAUGGCUUGAAUCCGGGAGAGGGAUGCAGAAUUCCAGGUGUAGCGGUGAAAUGCGUAGAUAUCUGGAGGAAUACCGGUGGCGAAGGCGGCAUCCUGGACCGGCAUUGACGCUGAAGCGCGAAAGCUAGGGGAGCAAACGGG